This 70-nucleotide transfer RNA is filed under the name Epinephelus trimaculatus (threespot grouper). RNAcentral's name for it is "tRNA-Pro". It matches the Rfam family "tRNA". From Rfam's summary of the family: Transfer RNA (tRNA) molecules are approximately 80 nucleotides in length. Their secondary structure includes four short double-helical elements and three loops (D, anti-codon, and T loops). Further hydrogen bonds mediate the characteristic L-shaped molecular structure. tRNAs have two regions of fundamental functional importance: the anti-codon, which is responsible for specific mRNA codon recognition, and the 3' end, to which the tRNAs corresponding amino acid is attached (by aminoacyl-tRNA synthetases). tRNAs cope with the degeneracy of the genetic code in two manners: having more than one tRNA (with a specific anti-codon) for a particular amino acid; and 'wobble' base-pairing, i.e. permitting non-standard base-pairing at the 3rd anti-codon position. The record is from RNAcentral. Lineage: Eukaryota; Metazoa; Chordata; Actinopteri; Perciformes; Serranidae. RNAcentral also lists the same sequence under 3 other names.
CAAAGAGUAGUUUAGUUAAGAAUUCUAGCUUUGGGAGUUGGAGGCAGGAGUUAAAAUCUCCUCUUUUUGA